GUGCAGCGCGCCUAGGGAUCCGGUCGCAAGACGACGCAGGACCGAGAGGUGCAAGCCGGUUGAGAGGCACAUGCCGAUAUAGACCGGUGACACGGCGGGACAAAAACCCGGGAGAC
RNAcentral lists this small RNA (116 nucleotides) under Labrenzia sp. RNAcentral describes it as "Guanidine-I sequence". It matches the Rfam family "Guanidine-I riboswitch aptamer". Rfam says of the family: This family represents a conserved RNA structure found upstream of the ykkC and yxkD genes in Bacillus subtilis and related genes in other bacteria. The function of this family is unclear although it has been suggested that it may function to switch on efflux pumps and detoxification systems in response to harmful environmental molecules. Nelson showed that this riboswitch senses and responds to guanidine and it was renamed Guanidine-I riboswitch. Lineage: Bacteria; Pseudomonadati; Pseudomonadota; Alphaproteobacteria; Hyphomicrobiales; Stappiaceae. The record is from RNAcentral.